GGGCGAAAGCCUGAUGCAGCGACGCCGCGUGAGGGAUGACGGCCUUCGGGUUGUAAACCUCUUUCAGCAGGGAAGAAGCGAAAGUGACGGUACCUGCAGAAGAAGCGCCGGCUAACUACGUGCCAGCAGCCGCGGUAAUACGUAGGGCGCAAGCGUUGUCCGGAAUUAUUGGGCGUAAAGAGCUCGUAGGCGGCUUGUCACGUCGGUUGUGAAAGCCCGGGGCUUAACCCCGGGUCUGCAGUCGAUACGGGCAGGCUAGAGUUCGGUAGGGGAGAUCGGAAUUCCUGGUGUAGCGGUGAAAUGCGCAGAUAUCAGGAGGAACACCGGUGGCGAAGGCGGAUCUCUGGGCCGAUACUGACGCUGAGGAGCGAAAGCGUGGGGAGCGAACAGGAUUAGAUACCCUGGUAGUCCACGCCGUAAACGGUGGGCACUAGGUGUGGGCAACAUUCCACGUUGUCCGUGCCGCAGCUAACGCAUUAAGUGCCCCGCCUGGGGAGUACGGCCGCAAGGCUAAAACUCAAAGGAAUUGACGGGGG
RNAcentral lists this ribosomal RNA (536 nucleotides) under Streptomyces coelicolor. Its description in RNAcentral is "bacterial SSU rRNA". It matches the Rfam family "Bacterial small subunit ribosomal RNA", at positions 373 to 919 of the family's 1533-position model. Lineage: Bacteria; Bacillati; Actinomycetota; Actinomycetes; Kitasatosporales; Streptomycetaceae. The record is from RNAcentral.